This 28-nucleotide small RNA is filed under the name Bombyx mori (domestic silkworm). RNAcentral describes it as "ovarian small RNA-21491". Lineage: Eukaryota; Metazoa; Arthropoda; Insecta; Lepidoptera; Bombycidae. The record is from RNAcentral.
UACUGCAAUUGCCAUUUGCUCCUCCAGG